GACAGAGGGUGCAAACGUUGUUCGGAAUUACUGGGCGUAAAGCGCGUGUAGGCGGUUCGGUAAGUCGGAUGUGAAAGCCCCGGGCUCAACCCGGGAAGUGCACUCGAUACUGCCGAGCUAGAGUAUCGGAGAGGUUGGUGGAAUUCUCGGUGUAGAGGUGAAAUUCGUAGAUAUCGAGAGGAACACCGGUGGCGAAGGCGGCCAACUGGACGAAUACUGACGCUGAGACUCGAAAGCGUGGGGAGCAAACAGG
RNAcentral lists this ribosomal RNA (253 nucleotides) under uncultured bacterium. RNAcentral's name for it is "partial 16S ribosomal RNA". It matches the Rfam family "Bacterial small subunit ribosomal RNA", at positions 524 to 776 of the family's 1533-position model. The record is from RNAcentral.